This 253-nucleotide ribosomal RNA is filed under the name uncultured bacterium. Its description in RNAcentral is "partial 16S ribosomal RNA". It matches the Rfam family "Bacterial small subunit ribosomal RNA", at positions 524 to 776 of the family's 1533-position model. The record is from RNAcentral.
UACGGAGGGGGCAAGCGUUGUUCGGAGUCACUGGGCGUAAAGGGCGCGUAGGCGGUGCAUCAAGUCAGGCGUGAAAGCCCCGGGCUUAACCUGGGAAUUGCGCUUGAUACUGAUGCGCUAGAGAGCGGGAGAGGAUGGCGGAAUUCCCAGUGUAGAGGUGAAAUUCGUAGAUAUUGGGAAGAACACCGGUGGCGAAGGCGGCCAUCUGGACCGGUACUGACGCUGAGGUGCGAAAGCGUGGGGAGCAAACAGG